ACUACAUGUGUAAGAGGUGCCUAAAAAAUGUCCUGAGAGAGAUGAAACUCUAAAGUGCUUGGAAAAGAGAUGGCUUAUCUAAAAACAUCUUACAUGACACAGGUAGCAAUUUGUUGAUUCAUUUUGUUGUUUCACACGUAAAACUAAGAGUGAGCGGAUAUAAAACAAAACUAUACUUGUAAUAAAUAGGUUGGACGAGAAAGACAAAGUGCUAGUUACCUGCUAUAAGGAUCUUCUAGUCGUCUCUUAACCUCUUCUGGCAAGCUGGCUAGCCUGCAAAAAGAAAUUAUCUUGUGAGGAUUAGAAUUACUGUUUCUUUAUAUCAAUAGCAGAAAGAAUGAACAGAUGUUAAAACUUAUGCCUAGGUGGAAGAUACAGAAGAUUUUG
Molecule: long non-coding RNA, 387 nt
Filed under: Carica papaya (papaya)
Lineage: Eukaryota; Viridiplantae; Streptophyta; Magnoliopsida; Brassicales; Caricaceae
Description: long non-coding RNA (CPAP_LNC010418)
Source: RNAcentral